Long non-coding RNA from Triticum aestivum (bread wheat), 3682 nucleotides. RefSeq lists it as uncharacterized. Lineage: Eukaryota; Viridiplantae; Streptophyta; Magnoliopsida; Poales; Poaceae. The record is from RefSeq and is a predicted model, not a curated record. The transcript has 7 exons.
GCGAGAGCGACCCGUGCCCCCCCGAGCCCCCUUGCCGCUGCCACCCCUCCCCUCUGCCCCAUGCCAGAUCCGCCUGCUGCCACCGCCACCGCUCUCCUCUGCCCCGUGCUGGAUCACCUCUCCUCCUCCUGCCGCGCCGCCACCGCUCCUCCAUCCUCCGCCAAUCCCAAUCCCCUCCUCUUGGCCGCGCACCCGCGACGGAGACCGAGGAUCCCGAGCCCCAGCCCCAGGCCCUAGCCGCCGGGGAGCUGGUCUGGGCCAAGACCAAGGGCCGCCACCCGCGCGCCUCCGCCCCCUCCCCAGAAUCCUCCCUCGUCUCCUCACCCCGCCGCCACCGUCAAGCCCUUCCUCGCCAUCCCCGACACCGACGCCCUCGCAAGGGCCAACACCGGCCUCGCCUUCGUUCCCCUCCUUGCCGCCCCCGCCGCCUCCUCCUCUUCCUCCCACCUCAGCCGCCUCCCCCCUCCCCCCUUACCCUCUCCCCCACCCCCCUCCCGCAUCUCGUCUGCCCCGGGUGCGGAUGCGACCUUCCCGGCGAUAGCGGUGGCACUGGAUUCGAUCUGCAGGAGAGAGAGAGAGAGAGAGAGAGAGAGAGAGGAAGGUGUGGCUUCUAACUGGAGAGGGUCUCCACCGGCGCCGGCCUGCACCGGCGCGAUCGGGCGCGACCUGGCUUCUAGGGCGGCUUGACUACAGUCUAUAGGUGACCACGUCCCUUUUCUCCCCUUCUCCCGUAUGUAGCUCUCUAUGUUGUUUCUCCUCUUUUCUCACAGAAGAAACACACAAAGCAGUUAACAAUGGGAGGAUUUGGGGGCUGCUCAGUUUUGGAUAUGGGGGCUGCACAGGCUUGGAGCAGCAAGCCAUGGCAACGAAGAGCUAGAUCGACAUAUGAAGACGCGGGAGCUAAAGCAAAUAGACUGCGAGGUUAUCAGGAUACCGGAGAAAUGGGUUAUGCUUUAGUCCUUGUAAAUGGCACUGGUUUUUCUUGUGCAAGUAAAGCCUGACAGUGGUGUACUCCAGGCAAUGUGAAGCUGGGACUUUCCUAUCAGGCAUGACCUUGUAGCCAAAUCCAUGAGGAGUCGGAGGCAGUUCCAGCAACUAACCAUGAAGCGACGGCGGAGAUCCAGUUCAUCUGUACCUCUAAGGCUGCCUUCUGACCGAACCGCGUCGUGGCAGCAAAAUCCGCUUUGAUUCAAUGCUCUGAUCAUCUAUGCUUUCCUGCUGUAGAUUUUUGGAGCUUGCUCUGUUAAUCCAUGUUAUUUUGUGUAUGACAGUUUAGGUCUGACCAGCACAAGGUGGCAACAACAGUAGUGGAGAAGGCAUGAAGAGGCCCACAUCUGAAAAUCCGUUCUGCUGACAGAUCAAGGGAGAUGGUCUUAGCAUCCACUAUGACAAUGUUGUCCAGAACAUGGACGACUCUGGAAACUGAAAAGUAACAGAUUUUGCUUCCAGGCGCACAAAGGCCACCGAUCGGAUCAGCGCGAAGAAACCCGUUCGGACCGCUGCCGCAUGCCUCGCCUUAGCAACAGAUCAACCUCUGCACCUACAUCCACUUCGACAGGUCGUCAGUCAAAGCAGGACCAUUUUACCCUCCUUCAUGCGGAUGAAUCUGAUCAAGUUUAUUUCAAAUUCCAAUCUAGAGUAGUUACACUUUUUCGCCUCUGCCUGCCUGCUUCUAGCAGGGUUGCAUUUCUCCAAUUUUCACAGCUUCAAAUCACUACCUACGAAUUGCGUAUACGAUUCAUCAUCGUUCAAUUACCCCGUACCCUAUGUGAAUUAUAUUCUGAAGUACAGGUUGACAACAACCUACUAGCUGUACAUACUUUUCUAGCUGGUACACAGUAAAAAGAAAGGGCUUGAGUAAAUGCACAUUGUUCAUUUCAUAUCUAUCAGAAGUUCCUGCAUUUAUUUUCCAGUAGCCAUAAUCAAUGUCAGUCACACACUUUGAAGGUUUUACACUUUUAUUUGGUAUCCUACUGCGCUGCAUGAUAACAUCCACAUUUACACGUAUUUUAGGCCCAGUAAAGCAAUCCCCCCUGGUUUCUUCAGCUUGCAAGAAAUGUUAUGGAUUCUGGGUUGACAUUCUAUUUAUUAAAAAGGUGCCUACAUGGAAAAAAAUCAUUGAAAAGCCAAGUGAGACACAAUAACUGUCCACCCAAAUCAUUGUGUUGGCUCAACGCCCUCUGGGACACAGAGGCUGGCGGGCUCUCGCUCUGCACCCGCCAAUCCAACGAGGGUGCUAUCCUGUGAAUUUGCCCGAAUUCUAAAACUAUUGCAUGUGCACUAUAUGUAUGAUGGAAGGUUUCACUUAAGAAGUGUCCAAACUGAGGUACUAGAUAACUGGCAUACUUAAUGGAAGAGACAUUCGCCCUAACCUGCAACUGCACCAGUUAUAUAGAUGCACAUAUAACUGAUUUGUUGCUAUCUGAGACCAUUAUUUUAAUUGUGAAUCUUAUUUUUCUUUACCUCUAGGCCAUGAACCAUCUUACCCUUAAAUCAGAAUUCAUGUUUUUUUCGCUCCUAUUUUGUUCCUUACCAGUGAUAGUGCAGCUUCCUAAAUGCAAAAAGCUCCCGGGAAGGUAAAACUAUGAUGUUUCAUUAAAUUGAAAUCUGUCAUUUAUAUUUGACUGCUUCAUUCUUCUCUAAAACCACAGGUAUAUCCGUACAGUGAACUGGAUUAUACAUUAAUCGGUUGAUUCAGAGCUCUUGUAUCUUGAGUGGCAUUCACCUUUGGGAAAUUCAAGCGACUACAGGUCAUGAUCUUCUUAUCGACGUCUCACUGUUGAAAAGAGUUCUUAUGUGGGUUCUAUUUUAAUGUCUUUAUGCUUGUGAAGUACACGGUGGGGGCGCGCAUGGUUGAUGAUUAUGUUCUGGGUUGGCCAUUGAGAGGGAGGCCGAAGCAAACUCCAUCAGGUUUCAGAUAGCUACUUCAGGUUAGGCGGGAGAAAUAAAAAGGGUGACCAUAGAUAUAUGGUCUAGCAUCACGAGGUUCAGGUAACUGCUGUUGACCAACCGUUGCUUCGGUCAAGGUUGGUUAUGCUUGAUUAUGUUCUUUGUAUUUUUUUUCAUGGCCUACACUCGUGUUAUCAUCUAUUCUGUUUCAAAAAUUUCAAUGGCUUAGUUUCAUGUCCCAGUACCACUUGAAGUACAACUAAGUACCUUUUGACAUGACAAUGAUGUAUGUAUUUACCUAUGGUUAUUGUUUCCUAUAAGAAACAUGAUCAUCUCACCUUGGUUUCCCCUGUAUCUGACUUGGGACAGUUUUAUGUGAGAUUUGUUUUGCAUUUUCUGUGUGUGUGGAUGCUUAAGCUUAAUCUUUUGUUAUUUGGUUCAGUUAGAGAUUGAAGAAGACUAAAAUUAUGGGCUCGCAGCGAGGAUUGUUGUGUCCAACCUGCACAAUAAUGCCAAGAAGUCCUUCUUCGAGACGAUUAAGGACAUGUACCUGCACUACAAUGAGUGAUCUGGACUGCUUCUUUGUGGCUUCCAAACUUGAAAUGUUUUUUGGAAGUUAGUUUAGUUUUUUGAGCUUCUCACAUGUACCAUUCUCUUAGACCUUUAGAUUUUCAAAGAAACUAAAUGAAGAUAUGGUGGUAUGGUCUCAAUAGUACAACUUAAAGCUUUCCAUGCUUUACAUUUUCUCUGAAAUUUGCUCUUGAAGAAUCAUGUGUCCCAUGUUAGAUUUGGU